UCCCUGGCAGUCCAGUGGUUAGGACUUAGCGUUUUCACUGCCAUAGCCCAGGUUCUAUCCCUGGCCAGGGGA
Molecule: transfer RNA, 72 nt
Filed under: Capra hircus (goat)
Lineage: Eukaryota; Metazoa; Chordata; Mammalia; Artiodactyla; Bovidae
Also listed under: 1 other name
Rfam family: tRNA
About the family: Transfer RNA (tRNA) molecules are approximately 80 nucleotides in length. Their secondary structure includes four short double-helical elements and three loops (D, anti-codon, and T loops).
Source: Rfam by way of RNAcentral